GGGGGGGGGGUCAGAUACAUUGAGUCCUUGAUGGUGAUGUAGCUCCACAAAAAGAAGUCCCAGGGUAUUAGAUCUGGCGAUUGUGGGGGUUGGAGCCAUUUUAGUGGAGUUUUAGUCAGCCCAUUACAGUGGUCCGAGCGAUGCAACUCCUUCCGUCAUGAUCAGCCAGUCCUGGAAUAGUCUGCAUGGAGAUGGGUGACUCAAAUUUUUACCAACUAUAACCUUUCAAGAACAGAGAAUAACACAUUUUCAUAAUAUGCUAGUGAAAGAUGCAAUGUCAGCAGUGAUGAAUGACUCGAGUGCGAAGAAGAAAAAAAUCUUGCGACGAAGCAAAGGUCGGGGGAAGAUCUGGAGACAAAUCUGUCAGGAAAUAUUACUGGAUAAAGCCGCAGUACUUCUGUUUUUUUUUUGCUGAGUGAUAAUAAAUGAUUGAGAAUAUUAUUUGUUAAG
This is a long non-coding RNA of Hyla sarda, 450 nucleotides long. RefSeq lists it as uncharacterized. Lineage: Eukaryota; Metazoa; Chordata; Amphibia; Anura; Hylidae. The transcript is spliced from 3 exons. The record is from RefSeq and is a predicted model, not a curated record.